AAGUGCGUGUAAUUUAAAAAAAAUAUCAAGCUGUGAUCCUGACAUUAGGAACUUAUCCUCACACACC
Molecule: transfer RNA, 67 nt
Filed under: Elaphe moellendorffi (Flower snake)
Lineage: Eukaryota; Metazoa; Chordata; Lepidosauria; Squamata; Colubridae
Description: tRNA-His
Source: RNAcentral